Molecule: ribosomal RNA, 509 nt
Filed under: uncultured bacterium
Lineage: Bacteria
Description: partial 16S ribosomal RNA
Rfam family: Bacterial small subunit ribosomal RNA
Source: RNAcentral
UGGGGAAUAUUGGACAAUGGGGGCAACCCUGAUCCAGCAAUGCCGCGUGUGUGAAGAAGGUCUUCGGAUUGUAAAGCACUUUCGACGGGGACGAUGAUGACGGUACCCGUAGAAGAAGCCCCGGCUAACUUCGUGCCAGCAGCCGCGGUAAUACGAAGGGGGCUAGCGUUGCUCGGAAUGACUGGGCGUAAAGGGCGUGUAGGCGGUUUACACAGUCAGAUGUGAAAUCCCCGGGCUUAACCUGGGAGCUGCAUUUGAUACGUGUAGACUAGAGUGUGAGAGAGGGUUGUGGAAUUCCCAGUGUAGAGGUGAAAUUCGUAGAUAUUGGGAAGAACACCGGUGGCGAAGGCGGCAACCUGGCUCAUGACUGACGCUGAGGCGCGAAAGCGUGGGGAGCAAACAGGAUUAGAUACCCUGGUAGUCCACGCUGUAAACGAUGUGUGCUAGAUGUUGGGUAACUUUGUUAUUCAGUGUCGCAGUUAACGCGUUAAGCACACCGCCUGGGGAGU